RNAcentral lists this ribosomal RNA (252 nucleotides) under uncultured bacterium. RNAcentral's name for it is "partial 16S ribosomal RNA". It matches the Rfam family "Bacterial small subunit ribosomal RNA", at positions 524 to 776 of the family's 1533-position model. The record is from RNAcentral.
UACGUAUGGAGCAAGCGUUAUCCGGAUUUACUGGGUGUAAAGGGAGCGCAGGCGGUCUGGCAAGUCUGGUGUAAAAGGCAGUGGCUCAACCAUUGUAUGCAUUGGAAACUGGUAGACUUGAGUGCAGGAGAGGAGAGUGGAAUUCCAUGUGUAGCGGUGAAAUGCGUAGAUAUAUGGAGGAACACCGGUGGCGAAAGCGGCUCUCUGGCCUGUAACUGACACUGAGGCUCGAAAGCGUGGGGAGCAAACAGG